UGGAUACUGGACGGCUUGAGUGCGGGAGAGGUUAUCGGAAUUCCCGGUGUAGCGGUGAAAUGCGUAGAGAUCGGGAGGAACACCAGUGGCGAAGGCGGGUAACUGGACCGCAACUGACGCUGAAGCGCGAAAGUGUGGGGAGCAAACAGGAUUAGAUACCCUGGUAGUCCACACUGUAAACGAUGAAUGCUAGGUGUAGGAGGUAUCGACCCCUUCUGUGCCGGAGUCAACACAAUAAGCAUUCCGCCUGGGGAGUACGGCCGCAAGGUUGAAACUCAAAGGAAUUGACGGGGGCCCGCACAAGCAGCGGAGCAUGUGGAUUAAUUCGACGCAACGCGAAGAACCUUACCAGGUCUUGACAUCCAGUAAAGCCUGUAGAGAUACAGAGUCCCUUCGGGGGUACUGAGACAGGUGGUGCAUGGUUGUCGUCAGCUCGUGUCGUGAGAUGUUGGGUUAAGUCCCGCAACGAGCGCAAC
Molecule: ribosomal RNA, 476 nt
Filed under: uncultured bacterium
Lineage: Bacteria
Description: bacterial SSU rRNA
Rfam family: Bacterial small subunit ribosomal RNA
Source: RNAcentral